This 486-nucleotide ribosomal RNA is filed under the name uncultured bacterium. RNAcentral describes it as "partial 16S ribosomal RNA". It matches the Rfam family "Bacterial small subunit ribosomal RNA", at positions 30 to 507 of the family's 1533-position model. The record is from RNAcentral.
AUUGAACGCUGGCGGCAUGCCUUACACAUGCAAGUCGAACGGCAGCACGGGUGCUUGCACCUGGUGGCGAGUGGCGAACGGGUGAGUAAUACAUCGGAACAUGUCCUGUAGUGGGGGAUAGCCCGGCGAAAGCCGGAUUAAUACCGCAUACGAUCUACGGAUGAAAGCGGGGGACCUUCGGGCCUCGCGCUAUACGGUUGGCCGAUGGCUGAUUAGCUAGUUGGUGGGGUAAAGGCCUACCAAGGCGACGAUCAGUAGCUGGUCUGAGAGGACGACCAGCCACACUGGGACUGAGACACGGCCCAGACUCCUACGGGAGGCAGCAGUGGGGAAUUUUGGACAAUGGGCGAAAGCCUGAUCCAGCAAUGCCGCGUGUGUGAAGAAGGCCUUCGGGUUGUAAAGCACUUUUGUCCGGAAAGAAAUCCUUGGCCCUAAUACGGUCGGGGGAUGACGGUACCGGAAGAAUAAGCACCGGCUAACUACGUG